This 460-nucleotide ribosomal RNA is filed under the name uncultured bacterium. RNAcentral describes it as "partial 16S ribosomal RNA". It matches the Rfam family "Bacterial small subunit ribosomal RNA", at positions 338 to 795 of the family's 1533-position model. The record is from RNAcentral.
CCUACGGGAGGCAGCAGUGAGGAAUAUUGGUCAAUGGGAGAGAUCCUGAACCAGCCAAGUCGCGUGAGGGAAGACGGCCCUAUGGGUUGUAAACCUCUUUUAUCGGAGAACAAAACCCCUGACGUGUCCCGCUCUGCGUGUAUCCGAUGAAAAAGCAUCGGCUAACUCCGUGCCAGCAGCCGCGGUAAUACGGAGGAUGCGAGCGUUAUCCGGAUUUAUUGGGUUUAAGGGGUGCGUAGGCGGCCUUUUAAGUCAGCGGUGAAAGUCUGGGGCUCAACCCUGGCCUUGCAGCUGAAACUGGGGUGCUUGAGUAUGUUGGAGGCAGGCGGAAUGCGUGGUGUAGCGGUGAAAUGCUUAGAUAUGACGCAGAACCCCGAUUGCGAAGGCAGCCUGCCGAGCCAGGACUGACGCUGAUGCACGAAAGCGUGGGGAUCAAACAGGAUUAGAUACCCCUGUAGUC